ACUCCAGAAGGUUCUGUGAGUUUUGGUUCCAUUCAAUUCUGAGUUUGUUCCACAGACUCACGAAGGUUCUGUGAGUUCUGGUUCUGUUUAAUUCUGAAUUUGCUCAAUGAACUCCAGAAGGUUCUGUAUGUUCUGAUUCCGUUUUAUUCAGAGUUUUUCCCCCACAAACUCAUGAAGGUUCUGUGUGUUCUCAUUCCAUGUAACUCUGAGUUUGUUCCAAAGACUCAUGAAGGUUCUGUGAGUUCUGGUUCUGUUUAAUUCUGAAGUUGCUCAAUGAACUCCAGAAGGUUCUGCAUGUUCUGGUUCUGUUUUAUUCAGAGUUUUUCCCCCACAAACUCAUGAAGGUUCUGUGUGUUCUCAUUCCAUGUAACUCUGAGUUUGUUCCACAGACUCAUGAAGGUUCUGUGAGUUCUGGUUCUGUUUAAUUCUGAGUUUGCUUAUGAACUCCAGAAGGUUCUGUAUGUUCUGAUUCCGUUUUAUUCAGAGUUUUUCCCCCACAAACUCAUGAAGGUUCUGUGGGCUCUCAUUCCAUGUAACUCUGAGUUUAUUCCACAGACUCAUGAAUAUUCGGUGAGUUCUGGUUCUGUUUAAUUCUGAGUUUGCUCAGUGGACUCCAGAAGUUUCUGUGUGUUAUGGUUCCAUUUAAUUCAGAGUGUGAUCUGUGGAUUCCAGAAGGAACUUUAAGUUCUGGUUCUGCUUAACCCAGCAUUAGCAUUUUAAUAACUGAGGAAAAUAGGAAAGGGAAAAUGUUAGCAUGUUACUUGUAUUGCUUUUUAGGUAGCGUGGUGUUGACGAAGUACAAACCAAUGAUGAUGACAUUCAAGCCUCUUUAGGGAAAGAGCAAGUCUCAGCUCUGCUCCUUUCUCCUUCCUCACAGUCCUACAUUCACUGACACUCUACAGGGACUGCAGAGUCCAAAUCCAGACUCUUUAGCCAGGGAUGCAAAGCCUUCUGUGAUUUAGCCCCUACCCGCCCAUUCAUCUUAAGUCACCACUCUUUUCCUAACCAAAGUCUGAGCUUCAGUUGUAUUUAUUUACUCAUUAUUUCAUGAACUCCUUUUUAAAGAUAAGACUUUGACUUGAAAUAACUUCAGAUUUUACAGAAAAGCUGUAAAGAUAGUAGAGGUCCUAUAUAUGGUUUGCCCUUUGAAUCCUUGAGUUUUGCAACCAUGGAUGCAACCAACCGUGGAUGGAAUUAAUUCCAAAAAACUUCCCAAAAGCAAACCUUGAAUUUGCUGCAAGCUAGCAACUUCUUACAUAGUACUUCCAUUGGAUUAGGCAUUAUAAGUAACCUAGAGAUGAUUUAAAGUAUACAGUAGGAUAUGUGAAGGACAUAUGCAAGUAUUAUAUCAUUUUGUAUAAGGGACUUGAGCAUCCAAAGGUUUAGGUAUCCACAGGGGUCCUGGGAUACCGAUGGAUGACUCUACUCCUGGUUUCCCUUAAUGUUAACAUAUUAUUAUGGUCCAUUUUUCCAAAUUAAGAAAACAUUAAUAUAUUACUCUUAACUAAACACCAGUUCUGCAGCUACUGUCCUUUGGCCAUCCCAGGAUGCCAUCCAGGACACCAUGUUCAUCUAGACGAGGUACAUUUUUUGUUUCUUAGCCCCUGCUCAUCACGUGUUCCCUUCCCCAGGAUACUCUUUUCUCUCCUGACUUAAGUGCUACCUAUUCUUCAAGUCCAUUCAAAUCUUAUCUCUGCACUAACUUUCCUAAUUCCUUCUGUCCACAAUGAUUUCUCUAACCUUCAAACUCCAGAACCACUUUGGUCCAGAUCACAUAUUUGGAAUGUGGUGUUGACUGACCUGUAUUAUUACAUCUGUUGUUCUGUUUUGUUUACCAAUUAGCAUAUAAGGCAAGGGUAAUAUCAUGUUCAUUUUCUGACACAUCUGCAGGCAUUGUGUUCUCAAAAGCAUUUAUUGGUAAUGAAUUGUGGUAUUCAUGUUAUUUAUUUUAUUUCACCAUUAGCAUAAAUAAUUGGGAGUCGGCUGUAAAUAUUAAUUGAAUUUUUAGUGGCCCAAGGUUACUACAUUUAUAUUUUAUGAUAUAAUAGAUAAUAAAUGCAACUCAAUGAGUAAAAAUAGCUAAUAUUUAUUGAGUACUGACCAUACCCCAGGCACCCAACUAAAUGUUUUAUAUGCAGCGUCACAGUUAAUUCUCAUCAAAUUUUACAUGGCAAAUACUACAGUUAUUCCUGUUUAAGGUUAAGUGAUUUGCCAAGGCCUGCGCAACCUAAAGAGAUGGAGGCAAAAUUCACACUCGGACAUUCUGGCUCCAGAGCAUGCACUCCUAACCACUUCACCGUAAAGUGCUUUUUGUCCUAGCAAUGAUUUCAGUUGAGUGGUUUAUUUUUUAUGCUUUUUUUUUUUUAAACCCAUCAUUCAGUCUUUCCUUAACUUCUAAAACCUGGUUUACUUUUUUUCUUAUCGGUCCCAAUGACCUUAAAAUUUCUGCCAUGAUGUUUCUACUUUGUACACUGGGUUGGAACUUAAAAGCUAUUUUGCAUUAUGUCCCAUCUCCACACUCUGAGGGCGCAGACUUUGCAUCUUUGGGUCCGGUACUAAACUCUGAACAUCAUAAAUGCCGCACCAACUAUUUGUUUUUCCUCUUUGUGACAAUAGUUUUGAAAGUCUUAAAAAUUUUAAAUUAUAAAGGAAUGUCCAUUUGAAAUUCUGAAGUAUAAAUACAUAGACUAAUAAGUGAGAAACCUUUUCUUCUUCCCUAUUUCUCAGCGAUAGAUUGUUUAACAUUGUGGCCUUAAUACAGUUCAUUAAAAAUUAUGAAUAUUUUGGAAGGUCCCUUAUUGUGCACUGGGUUAGGGAUCUGGCAUUGCUGCAGCCAUGGUGAAGGUCACAACUGUGGCUCAGGUUCGAUCCCUGGCUCUGGAACUUCCACAUGCUGUGGGUGCAGCCAAAAAAAUUAUGAAUAAUUUUAAUUAUAAAUACAAACUCAUGACGUAAAAAUUGAUAGCUUUCCAGUGAUACAGAAGAAUAUGCAAAAAUCUUCCAAGGUUCUAAUUUUCAGAGGAAACUGUUCUUAAAAGCUUACUAUUAUAAAAGCUCCAGAUGUUUUCUAUACCUGGAAGCCUUUUGUAAUUCUGUUUUUGUUUUUGGCAGGAAGAAAAUCCUGACAUGUGCUGUCACCCUGAUCUCCCCCAGACCAGCUGUCCCUAAGAAUUUUGCUACUUUUGACACCGUCACAUAUUCUUUUUUUCCUUGCCACUCAUUUUCUAAACACGAGUCAAUCAAUCCUUUUCCUCUUUUUCAGACUACUUUCUGACUCCAGUGAAUGAGUUUAUCUGGGACCUCUGGUUUUUCUCUGAGUAUCUUCAUCCCUAGAGAGUUUCUCCAUUCCUGAUCAGGCUACCAUCUUUUCUCACACGGUUCUCUUGCUGCCAAACUUCUUUUUAGACUUUCUCAACCCACAGUCAUUCCUCAGCCCCUUGUGAUCUGAUUUACAUAUGCCACUCCAAUAAAACUAUGUUUGAAAUUUCCUUAAUCACAGAAAAUCUCUACCACCACACUCCCCCCCCCCAAUGGGUUUCUGGGGGCCAUUGACUCUCUUUUCUGUGAGAAGUGCUCCCUUUCAGGCUUCUGAGCCAUUGCAAAAUCCAAGUUCUUCCUCUGCUUUUAGGACCUGAGCUUCCCCUACUGUAAUACGGCCACUCUGGGUCUUUUGUUCCUGAUCUCUGUCUCUCCUAGUGUCCCCCUGGGGGACGUCUUCACAAUCCCAACACCACUCAACAUGCGCUAACCACGUCUAACAUGAACUAACCUCUCUCGAAUUCCAGUUCCACAUCUCCCACUCCCUGCUCAUCAGAUUCACAAUUUACCUCAAGGCCAACCUAUCACAGCUUAAACACACCACCUAAAAACACACCCUCUUUCCCGUGUCCUUAUUCCUGUUCAUGAUAUUCCCACUUUCUUGGUCAACAAAGGAACAUGUUGGUCUUCAUCCUCUCUAGUACCCUUUGAGUUCCAUCAAUCACCUCACCCAGGAAUUCCACUGCUGUAUCUUUUGCCUGCUGCUUCUUCCUAGUCCCACCAUCUCACUGUUUCUUAACUGCAUUUUUAGGGCCUCCUGAUUGUGUUAUCUUCAUCCCCGCCCACUUCAUUGUCCAUUUACCCACAAAUAGGUCAGGUAAGUCUUCCCUGAAACCUUUCCCUAACCUUCCACUUCCCUGCCCCAAACUCUUCAGUGACAAGCCACUACCUGUGAAUGAAAAAAUUCUUCAGCAUAGUUUUAGAUGUCCUCCUAACAGCGAUUUGCAGACUUUUUGUUUUAGGAUCCUUCUUCACUCUUAAAAAAUUCUUGAGCUUCAAAGAGUUUCAUCUAUCACUGUUUCCUAUAUUGGAAGUUAAGACUGAAGAAAAUUUAAAAAUAUUUACAUAUGUAUUUAAAAGUAACAAUAACAAACAUAUUAACAUAAAUACCACAUUUUGUUGAAGCAAUAACUUUUUGGGAAAAAAAGUAGGAGUGGCAUUGUUUCACAUUUUUGUAAACUCUCGAGAGUGUCAGACUUAAUAGGAUUUAAUAGAAGACAGCUGUAUUCUCUUAUCUGCUUCUGCAUUCCAUCUGUUGUGAUAUCAUAGGUCAUGUGGCCUCUGGAAAAUUCCAUUGUGUAUUUAAAAAGAGAGUGAACAGGAAAAUAACAUCUCAGUAUGAAUGGGGAAUAGCUUUGACCUCAUGGACCUUUGACGGUGUCCCAGGUCCCCCGACCACAUACUGAGAACCACGCUAUCUCUGCCUUCUCCCUCACGUCUCCUCCAACCUUCACGCUCCAGUUAAACUAUGCUUUACCUAUGAACGUAUUCACAUUUUUGUGGCUCUUCUUCAAAGAAGGAUUUUGGUCAAACCAUUGUAUUUAUUCAUUGGCAGGACCCUGUGGUUUGCCAGGGAACAGGGAUUUGGUGGGGAAAAAAUCCCUCCGAUUACUAGAAAAUACUCUUAAGUGGAAAUCAGGGAACUUACAUGCUCAUGACAGUUCUGUAACUAAGAUUUUCUGUCACCUCGGACAAGUCACUUAACUUGGUUUGUGCCUUGGUUCUCAGUUCUUGUCUGCGUAAACAAAGAAAAUAGAUAAGAUGAUCUCUGGGAGUAGUUCCAAGUCUAAAAUCAUCAGCGAUUUGAAAUUAAAUCACCUGCAGUCUAUUCUGAAGAAGUGGGAAACACCUGCCAUUUCCAGUCUUCUGUAUACACCCCUGACAUCAGUUUACUACAAACUGCUGUCUUUUUCUGAAUGCAUAAAAAGAUCAGGUUCUCAGAGUUCCUGUUGUGCAGUGGAAAUGAAUCCAACCAGUAGCCAUGAGGUUGUGGGUUCCACCUCUGGCCUCGCUCAGUGGGUUGAGGCUCCGGCACUGCUGUGAGCUAUACUGUAGGUCGCAGACGUGGCUCGGAUCCUGCGUUGCUGUGGCUGUGGUGUAGACCGGCGGCCACAGCUCUGAUUGGACUCCUAGCCUGGGAAC
RNAcentral lists this long non-coding RNA (5460 nucleotides) under Sus scrofa (pig). Its description in RNAcentral is "lncRNA (ENSSSCG00025065042.1)". The record is from RNAcentral. Lineage: Eukaryota; Metazoa; Chordata; Mammalia; Artiodactyla; Suidae.